Molecule: ribosomal RNA, 546 nt
Filed under: uncultured bacterium
Lineage: Bacteria
Description: partial 16S ribosomal RNA
Rfam family: Bacterial small subunit ribosomal RNA
Source: RNAcentral
UGGGGAAUUUUGGACAGUGGGCGAAAGCCUGAUCCAGCAAUGCCGCGUGUGUGAAGAAGGCCUUCGGGUUGUAAAGCACUUUUGUCCGGAAAGAAAUGGCUCUGGUUAAUACCUGGGGUCGAUGACGGUACCGGAAGAAUAAGGACCGGCUAACUACGUGCCAGCAGCCGCGGUAAUACGUAGGGUCCAAGCGUUAAUCGGAAUUACUGGGCGUAAAGCGUGCGCAGGCGGUUGUGCAAGACCGAUGUGAAAUCCCCGAGCUUAACUUGGGAAUUGCAUUGGUGACUGCACGGCUAGAGUGUGUCAGAGGGGGGUAGAAUUCCACGUGUAGCAGUGAAAUGCGUAGAGAUGUGGAGGAAUACCGAUGGCGAAGGCAGCCCCCUGGGAUAACACUGACGCUCAUGCACGAAAGCGUGGGGAGCAAACAGGAUUAGAUACCCUGGUAGUCCACGCCCCUAAACGAUGUCAACUAGUUGUUGGGGGAUUCAUUUCCUUAGUAACGUAGCUAACGCGUGAAGUUGACCGCCUGGGGAGUACGGUCGCAAG